Molecule: small nuclear RNA, 104 nt
Filed under: Meriones unguiculatus (Mongolian gerbil)
Lineage: Eukaryota; Metazoa; Chordata; Mammalia; Rodentia; Muridae
Source: RNAcentral
GUGCAUCACGGUAGCAAUUGUAUUAAUACCAAAAUUGGAAUGACACAGAUUAGCAUGGUCCCUGCAAGGAAGACAUGAAAACUUGUAAAGGGUACUGCAUUUAA